Solanum lycopersicum (tomato) is the source of this 444-nucleotide non-coding RNA. The record is from RefSeq and is a predicted model, not a curated record. Lineage: Eukaryota; Viridiplantae; Streptophyta; Magnoliopsida; Solanales; Solanaceae.
CUAUUUAUUAUCAACAAAAAAUAAUUGGCUAGGUUUCUUGAAUUCUUAAUAAAGAAAAGGCUUCAAGUGCUCCCUAUCGAUUUACCAGAUCCUAAUUUCGUACGAAAAUUUUCAUCAAUCACCAAUUGGUUUUGAUUCCACGAUGAGCCACAGUCAAUGGUGUAUCCAAGUUUGAAGUUCAAUGAUGGAGUCAAGUUCAAUGGUUGAAUCAAGUUAGAGAUGAGUGUUCAUCUUGACGGGUGUAGUUUUAGCCGCUACCUAUUUAACACUUAUGAAGAUUUACAUUGGAGAAAUUUUUUCAGAAAAAUUCUCUAUGUUGAGACUUAAAAUUUUGCAAAGGAAUUUAUGAAGAGGAGAUGCAAAUUUUUGAGAUGAUGUGAAUAAUGUGAACAAAUUUAUUUGGUCAGAAAUUCAGUCUAAAAUAGUUGUCCACAAUACUAAAAA